AAAGACAAAGAUCCUAUCUGAAAAUAACCUGAUGCUUUUUUCCUGGUUACAUACUUUGCUUGCUCUGUUUCUAUCAAAAAGAUCAGAUCUUUGGCUUUUCUUGGCACUGCAUUGCUCAAAUCUUUCACUAUCUUCCUUCAGAUUUCACCAGUUGUGAGAAUACUUUACUCAUGGAAACGCCAGAGAGAUCAUCAAUACUAGAUUCCUCGAAUCGCCCCGCUGUGCCCGGAACGUUAACACUAGUGUCUCCCUGACUGAAAUUAUUGAUCUGCGGAGGUAAUUCACCAAUCAUAUUCGUGCUAUUAUCUUCUGGUUCACCAUCAAUGACUGCUUCUUGAAGCUGCAGAGCGUAUUCAAGAUUCCACAACACAUCUCCCAUAGAUGGCCUAUCAACUCCAUAAUCCGCUAAACAUUUCUCACCUGUUUCCGCAAAUUUCCUUAACGAAUCGGGUCUGAUAUUUCCGCGAAG
Long non-coding RNA from Arabidopsis thaliana (thale cress), 469 nucleotides. RefSeq annotates it as other RNA. The transcript has a single exon. NCBI's taxonomy places the organism in Eukaryota, Viridiplantae, Streptophyta, Magnoliopsida, Brassicales, Brassicaceae. The record is from RefSeq.